Molecule: ribosomal RNA, 240 nt
Filed under: uncultured bacterium
Lineage: Bacteria
Description: partial 16S ribosomal RNA
Rfam family: Bacterial small subunit ribosomal RNA
Source: RNAcentral
AGCGUUGUCCGGAUUUAUGGGGCGUAAAGAGCGUGUAGGCGGUUGGGUAGGUCCGUUGUGAAAACUCGAGGCUCAACCUCGAGACGCCGAUGGAAACCCCCUGACUAGAGUCCGGAAGAGGAGAGUGGAAUUCCUGGUGUAGCGGUGAAAUGCGCAGAUAUCAGGAAGAACACCGGUGGCGAAGGCGGUUCUCUGGGCAUUACCUGACGCUGAGGAGCGAAAGUGUGGGGAGCGAACAGG